UAUGUAAGAAAGACAUGAUUUCCACCCCACUUCUGCAACACAUCUGAGUUUUAUCUUCUUUUUGGAUCUGUAUCUUAUGCAGCUUACACAAUGCAGCAAGCUCUAGAACAAGCUUUGGAUCGUGCAGAGUAUAUUGUUGAAAGUGCUCGGCAGAGACCUCCUAAAAGGAAAUACCUAUCUAGUGGAAGAAAGUCUAUAUUCCAAAAACUUUAUGACUUGUAUGUUGAAGAAUGUGAAAAAGAACCUGAAGUUAAGCAGAAAUUAAGAAGAAAUGUGAACUUGUUAGAGAAGCUUGUUAUGCAAGAGACUUUGUCAUGUUUGGUGGUCAAUCUGUAUCCAGGAAACGAAGGAUAUUCUCUGAUGCUCAGGGGGAAAAAUGGAUCAGAUUCUGAGACCAUCCGAUUGCCUUAUGAAGAAGGGGAAUUGCUUGAAUACUUAGAUGCAGAAGAAUUACCUCCUAUUUUGGUUGAUCUCCUUGAAAAAUCACAGGUUAAUAUUUUUCAUUGUGGAUGUGUGAUAGCAGAAAUACGUGACUAUCGCCAGUCCAGUAAUAUGAAAUCUCCUGGUUACCAGAGUAGGCACAUUCUCUUACGUCCAACAAUGCAGACUUUAGUCUGUGAUGUUCAUUCUAUAACAAGUGACAACCAUAAAUGGACCCAGGAAGACAAACUUUUGCUUGAGAGCCAACUGAUUCUAGCUACAGCAGAACCACUGUGUCUUGACCCGUCUGUGGCUGUAGCUUGUACUGCAAAUAGGCUGCUCUAUAACCGGCAGAAGAUGAACACUCGCCCAAUGAAACGGUGUUUGAAGAGGUACUCCAGGUCCUCCCUGAACCGGCAGCAGGACCUGUCUCACUGUCCUCCUCCCCCUCAGCUGAGAUUACUUGAUUUCUUACAAAAACGCAAGGAAAGGAAAGCAGGUCAGCACUAUGACCUCAAAAUUUCUAAAGCAGGAAAUUGUGUGGACAUGUGGAAACGGAGCCCCUGUAACCUGGCUGUGCCUUCUGAAAUAGAUGUGGAGAAAUAUGCUAAAGUAGAAAAAUCCAUCAAAUCUGAUGACUCUCAACCAACAGUCUGGCCGGCCCAUGAUGUAAAAGACGAUUAUGUAUUUGAAUGUGAAGGUGGUACUCAGUAUCAGAAAACAAAGCUGACCAUCCUGCAGUCUCUUGGUGAUCCACUUUACUAUGGUAAAAUCCAGCCGUGGAAAGCAGACGAAGAAAAUGACAGUCAAAUGUCUCCAUCCCACUUCUCUGCAGAGGAUCAUUCAAAUUGGUUUAUUAUUGGGUCAAAGACUGAUGCAGAGAGGGUAGUUAAUCAAUACCAGGAGUUGGUCCAGAAUGAAGCCAAAUGCCCAGUGAAGAUGUCACAUAGCUCUAGUGGUUCAGCCACUCUCAAUUCAGGGGAGGAGACAGAACAGCCUGAGACUGUGUCUAUUCAGUCUUCAGUUUUGGGAAAGGGAGUAAAACAUCGGCCCCCACCCAUCAAACUUCCCUCAAGCUCAGGAAAUAAUGCCUCAGGUAACUAUUUUACAGCACAACAGGCCAGCAGCUUCCUUAAAUCUCCAACUCCUCCUCCAUCAUCUAAGCCAAGUCUCUCUCGGAAAUCAUCUGUGGAGCUCAGUCAAGUUAGCAUGCUUUCUCCUGCCGCCCUGUCACCUGCCAGCUCUUCACAGAGACAUGAAAGCUAAAAAGGAAACACCUCAAGAGCUUUUGCUUUAUUUUUUUGGUUUCAUUUUUUUUAUUUUUUUAAAGUUGAUAAACUGUGCAUACUUCAUUCACAACAGAUUUUCUAUACAUUCUACAUUUAAACAGAAGUACACAGUUACUGUUAAAGAUGCAGUAUUAUCUAUAAAGUACUUGCUUUACUCCUUGUAAAUUUGUUUGUCAGGGUAAACUUGAUAUGUUGGGAAUUAAAUAGGUAUAUCUCGGUGCUAAAUAUAAUUGAUAACUUUGUGUAGCUUACUAAAAAUGUUCAUUUUAUCUCAGACAGUUAAACUAAAUAAGCAGUAUUUUUAAAAGAAGUCUUGAAUUAUUAAAAUCAUAAAUAACAAAAAUUAACUUAAAUUCAGUUUCAACUUUGUAGGCAAAAGACAGCAUGUAGGAGACUAACUUUUCAGUGGUGUUGUGGUAGCGUGUAAGUGUAUUUCCACUGUUACUGUGAUAGCAUCUGGAGUGGGGUUUUUAGGUGAUAUACUGCAUCCUUAAUUGUAAUUGAGUGUAGCAACACUCGUGGAUCUUAUAGAUUGUUAACACUUGCAGUUCACUGCUUUUAAAAAAUUGGAACAAAUUUGUCAGUGCUAAGUAAGAUUCCAUUAACCUUAUUUUAAAAGGACCGGCCAUUUAUAACAAACUAGCAAUUUUUAUUUUUCUCAAUGAGCAGGAUCUGGAACUCCUAAGCCAUCUACUCCUACACCAACCCCUUCAUCGGCCCCACACCCUCCUGAUGCUCAGAACUCAACUCCUAGUACCCCUUCAGCCACCCCAUCUCCCCAAGAUUCAGGCUUCACCCCUCAGCCCACUUUGUUCACUCAGUUUGCUCAGCAGCAAAGGGCUCUGAGCCAGGCAAUGCCUGUGACAACCAUUCCUCUUUCUACCAUGGUAACAUCUAUAACAACAGGAAGCACGGUCUCUCCGGUCAUGGCAGACUCUGCUGGGCUUAACUCCAUCGGUGUAGUGAGCUCUGCUGGUGGAGCCCAUGCUCUGAAGAGUGGCUCAAACUCCAUGCUGAGCUGUGACGCUGUAACUCCUGCAGGAAAAAACAUGUGUGGCAGCCUUCUUCCAUCAGGAAGUCUCUUAACAAAUGCACUGCCCAGUGUAAUGCAGGCAACUUCUCAGUCAGGUAUCCCAUUUGGUUUAAAAAAUACUUCAAAUCUCAGGCCUUUAAAUCUACUCCAGCUUCCUGGUGAUUCACUCAUGUUUAACACUCAGCAGCAACAACAGCAGUCACAGCCCCCUCAGUUUGUACAACCUCAGCAGCCUACAGCUUCCAGUCCCCAACAGCCAGAGGAGCAGGGUUCUGAACAAAGUUUAACUGCUCAAGAACAGGCCUUAACUGCUCAACAAGCUGCUGUUGUUAAUCUUACUGGAUUAGGCGGCUUUACACAAUCACCGGCAGCUGUGUUGUCUCAGCUCAGCUCUGCUGAGAACAGACCUGAGCAAAGCCUCCCUCAGCAGAGACUCCAGCUCUCUUCUGCCUUGCAGCAGCAGCAACAGCAGCAGCAGCAGCAGCAGCAACAGCAGCAGCAGCAGAUUCAACAGUUGCGAUUCUUGCAACAUCAGAUGGCUAUGGCAGCAGCAGCCGCACAAACAGCGCAGCUACAUCGUCACCGGCAUCCAGGUGGUCAGUCAAAGAGUAAAGUGAAGAGAGGCAUGCCAACCACUCCAAAAUUCUGAGCAAGAGUUCUUCUUUUCUCUCUUUUUUUUUUUUUUUUUACAAACACAAGGCCAUUGAACAAAAAGAAUUGUAUUUCUACUUCAUUUUUUUCCCCUAAGAUGUCAGUAUUUUACAUUGAUAGAUAUGCAUACUUUAUACAAAAGCACAACCUUGUGAUUCUUUCAUGGGUUAAAUGUUUUCCUGUAUAUACCAUCUACAGAAAUAACCUAAGAACUAUAGAAAUAUCUUUCAAAGGAAUGUAGUUGGUAUUUAUUUAGUAUAAAAAACCUGCACAGUGUAACAAAUACAGUUUUUACAGCUGGUUUGCAA
Molecule: RNA transcript, 3701 nt
Organism: Peromyscus leucopus (white-footed mouse)
Lineage: Eukaryota; Metazoa; Chordata; Mammalia; Rodentia; Cricetidae
Gene: Supt20h
Gene name: SPT20 homolog, SAGA complex component
Exons: 25
Source: RefSeq, a predicted model, not a curated record